This 494-nucleotide ribosomal RNA is filed under the name uncultured bacterium. RNAcentral's name for it is "bacterial SSU rRNA". It matches the Rfam family "Bacterial small subunit ribosomal RNA", at positions 28 to 511 of the family's 1533-position model. The record is from RNAcentral.
GAUGAACGCUAGCGGCAGGCUUAAUACAUGCAAGUCGAGGGGCAGCGGGGGGUAGCAAUACCUGCCGGCGACCGGCAAACGGGUGCGGAACACGUACACAACCUUCCUAUAAGUGGGGGAUAGCCCAGAGAAAUUUGGAUUAAUACCCCGUAAUAUUAUUUAGUGGCAUCAUUAGAUAAUUAAAGCUCCGGCGCUUAUUGAUGGGUGUGCGUCUGAUUAGGUAGUUGGUGAGGGUAACGGCCCACCAAGCCUUCGAUCAGUAACUGGUGUGAGAGCACGACCAGUCACACGGGCACUGAGACACGGGCCCGACUCCUACGGGAGGCAGCAGUAAGGAAUAUUGGUCAAUGGACGCAAGUCUGAACCAGCCAUGCCGCGUGGAGGAUGAAGGUCCUCUGGAUUGUAAACUUUCUUUUUAUCUGGGAAGAAAUGCUAUUUUUUCUAAAGUGUUUUGACGGUACCAGAUGAAUAAGCACCGGCUAACUCCGUGCCAG